GAUGAACGCUGGCGGCGUGCCUAAUACAUGCAAGUCGAGCGAACGGACGAGAAGCUUGCUUCUCUGAUGUUAGCGGCGGACGGGUGAGUAACACGUGGAUAACCUACCUAUAAGACUGGGAUAACUUCGGGAAACCGGAGCUAAUACCGGAUGAUAUUUUGAACCGCAUGGUUCAAAAGUGAAAGACGGUCUUGCUGUCACUUAUAGAUGGAUCCGCGCUGCAUUAGCUAGUUGGUAAGGUAAUGGCUUACCAAGGCAACGAUGCAUAGCCGACCUGAGAGGGUGAUCGGCCACACUGGAACUGAGACACGGUCCAGACUCCUACGGGAGGCAGCAGUAGGGAAUCUUCCGCAAUGGGCGAAAGCCUGACAGAGCAACGCCGCGUGAGUGAUGAAGGUCUUCGGAUCGUAAAACUCUGUUAUUAGGGAAGAACAUAUGUGUAAGUAACUGUGCACAUCUUGACGGUACCUAAUCAGAAAGCCACGGCUAACUACGUG
This 497-nucleotide ribosomal RNA is filed under the name uncultured bacterium. RNAcentral's name for it is "partial 16S ribosomal RNA". It matches the Rfam family "Bacterial small subunit ribosomal RNA", at positions 28 to 507 of the family's 1533-position model. The record is from RNAcentral.